CCUACGGGUGGCUGCAGUGGGGAAUAUUGGGCAAUGGGCGCAAGCCUGACCCAGCAACGCCGCGUGAAGGAAGAAGGCUUUCGGGUUGUAAACUUCUUUGGCCAGGGACGAUAAUGACGGUACCUGGAGAACAAGCCACGGCUAACUACGUGCCAGCAGCCGCGGUAAUACGUAGGUGGCGAGCGUUAUCCGGAUUUACUGGGUGUAAAGGGCGUGUAGGCGGGUUGGCAAGUCGGGUGUGAAAUUUACAGGCUUAACCUGUAACGGUCAUCCGAAACUGCCGAUCUUGAGUGUCGGAGAGGAAAGUGGAAUUCCUAGUGUAGCGGUAAAAUGCGUAGAGAUUAGGAGGAACACCAGUGGCGAAGGCGACUUUCUGGACGAUAACUGACGCUGAGGCGCGAAAGCGUGGGGAGCAAACAGGAUUAGAUACCCUUGUAGUC
This 440-nucleotide ribosomal RNA is filed under the name uncultured Fastidiosipila sp. RNAcentral's name for it is "bacterial SSU rRNA". It matches the Rfam family "Bacterial small subunit ribosomal RNA", at positions 338 to 795 of the family's 1533-position model. The record is from RNAcentral. Lineage: Bacteria; Bacillati; Bacillota; Clostridia; Eubacteriales; Oscillospiraceae.